This 368-nucleotide ribosomal RNA is filed under the name uncultured organism. RNAcentral's name for it is "bacterial LSU rRNA". It matches the Rfam family "Bacterial large subunit ribosomal RNA", at positions 2099 to 2465 of the family's 2925-position model. The record is from RNAcentral.
CUUUACUGUAGCUUUGCAUUGGACUUUGAACCGGUCUGUGUAGGAUAGGUGGGAGGCUUUGAAGCCAGGACGCUAGUUCUGGUGGAGCCGACCUUGAAAUACCACCCUGAUUUGUUUGAGGUUCUAACCAUGGCCUGUGAAUCCAGGUCUGGGACCGUGCAUGGUAGGCAGUUUGACUGGGGCGGUCUCCUCCCAAAGUGCAACGGAGGAGUACGAAGGUACGCUAAGUACGGUCGGACAUCGUGCUAAUAGUGCAAUGGCAAAAGCGUGCUUGACUGCGAGUCCCACAAGACGAGCAGGUACGAAAGUAGGUCACAGUGAUCCGGUGGUUCUGUAUGGAAGGGCCAUCGCUCAACGGAUAAAAGGUA